RNAcentral lists this long non-coding RNA (766 nucleotides) under Toxoplasma gondii VEG. The record is from RNAcentral. Lineage: Eukaryota; Apicomplexa; Conoidasida; Eucoccidiorida; Sarcocystidae.
GGAGAAGUGACUUCGAAGUCAAGAUGGCAGCCCCUUUAUUGCGCCCCAGACUGUUGCAUGCAAGCUACCGCAACAAAACGCUUCUGCACAAAUCUCUCUGGCCCGCAAUAUGGACACCGAGCACCUUCCUCUCUUUUCCCGGGAUUCUGUUGGCUGCGAGUGCGUCCAAUUACAGCUGACACGGAUGUGGCGAACCUGGGAAGAUCUAAUUUCGUGGCUGGAAUGAAAUAAGGUCUUUCAAGUUCGUGGUUCUGCCGGACGGCGUGUAGAGCCUCGUCAACCCGGUCCAGAGCAGAGCGUCAGCAUCCUGUUUUUGGGUUGCUCGAGAUCGAACGAAACUCCAGUCGAGUACACAGAGACCCUAAAAAACAGAGGACAAUGAACGCGACUCCAAUGAUGAACUUCAAAUCACCCAGUUCUUUUUUUCGACUCAUGGCGUGCACAUUUACUACCAGAGAAGGGGUGUUCCCGCCACAGGUUCGAAGGCAUCCGCAAAGACUGGUUGUAAGAAAACGGUUUAGUUUAGACCUUGAGACAUGAAAGUUUCAGUACUGACAGCUUUUGACGGACGAAUUGAAAGCGCAUUGCCGCAAGAUAUAACACCGCUCGUUCGAAGAUCCGCCUAUAGCUCCACAGAGCCUUGUGAAUCUCCGGACUCUUGUGCGUUUGACUGGUAUUUGUUUGAAGAGAUACAGAACCGGUGUCUACGCUGGCCUUGAGACAACUUGUGCAUGCCUACGUGAACGUUUUUGACACGUAUUUCGCG